UGCAGUCGAGCGAGAUCUUCGGAUCUAGCGGCGGACGGGUUAGUAACGCGUGGGAACGUACCCAAAGGUAGGGAAUAGCCACUGGAAACGGUGAGUAAUACCCUAUGUGCCCUUCGGGGGAAAGAUUUAUCGCCUUUGGAUCGGCCCGCGUUAGAUUAGAUAGUUGGUGGGGUAACGGCCUACCAAGUCUACGAUCUAUAGCUGGUUUUAGAGGAUGAUCAGCAACACUGGGACUGAGACACGGCCCAGACUCCUACGGGAGGCAGCAGUGGGGAAUCUUGGACAAUGGGGGCAACCCUGAUCCAGCCAUGCCGCGUGAGUGAUGAAGGCCUUAGGGUCGUAAAGCUCUUUCGCCUGUGAAGAUAAUGACUGUAGCAGGUAAAGAAACCCCGGCUAACUCCGUGCCAGCAGCCGCGGUAAUACGGAGGGGGUUAGCGUUGUUCGGAAUUACUGGGCGUAAAGCGCGCGUAGGCGGACUGGAAAGUUGGGGGUGAAAUCCCAGGGCUCAACCCUGGAACUGCCUCCAAAACUAUCAGUCUAGAGUUCGAGAGAGGUGAGUGGAAUUCCGAGUGUAGAGGUGAAAUUCGUAGAUAUUCGGAGGAACACCAGUGGCGAAGGCGGCUC
RNAcentral lists this ribosomal RNA (624 nucleotides) under uncultured bacterium. Its description in RNAcentral is "bacterial SSU rRNA". It matches the Rfam family "Bacterial small subunit ribosomal RNA", at positions 56 to 727 of the family's 1533-position model. The record is from RNAcentral.